UCCCCGUCUAAGUGCCCUGGAACGGGCCGUCAUAAAAGGUGAGAAUCCCGUCUGGGAUGGGCGGCCGCGCCCGUGUGAAGCUCCUUCGACAAGUCGAGUUGUUUGGGAAUGCANCUCUUAUCGGGUGGUAAAUUUCAUCUGANGCUAAAUACUGGCCGGAGACCGAUGGCGCAUAAGUAGAGUGAUCGAAAGAUGAAAAGCACUUUGAAAAGAGAGUUAAAUAGCACGUGAAAUUGUUGAAAGGGAAGCGUUGUCCACCGAACUCCCCGGGGGGGGCUCCGCCCGUACGUGUGCCGGUUUACUCCUCUCCGGGCGGGCCAUCAUCGGUUUGGGCGGCUGGUGAAACGCCCCGGGAAUGUACCACCCUCCGGGGUGUCUUAUA
RNAcentral lists this ribosomal RNA (382 nucleotides) under soil fungal sp. DM2-408. RNAcentral describes it as "eukaryotic LSU rRNA". It matches the Rfam family "Eukaryotic large subunit ribosomal RNA", at positions 174 to 560 of the family's 3401-position model. The record is from RNAcentral. Lineage: Eukaryota; Fungi.